AGAGCUGCAUGGUCAACUCAUGUCACUUCUGUCACCCUGCUGAAUGCCACAUCACACUGCCAAUGCUCAGGAGCACUGACUGCUGGCUUCUGCAAGAAUGGAAGGAAAGGAAGACAUGGACACAUUGGCUACAUCUAAACUACUAAAAAAGUUAGUCAGAGAAUUUUCCUGCAGACCAACUGGCAUGAAAGAACUUGAAUCCACGCAGCUAAACUCUCUUGCCCUCCAAAUCACGGUGGCCACAUCCAAAAUAUCUAUUGGUGAUGGUGCCUGAACUGGGCUUUGUUUGAACCCAAGCUGUGCUUUGGCAUUGUCUGGAAGAGCAUGAACAGGCUUGCACCAAAACCAUGCCAAGGACCAGUUUAGCGUACGGAUGGUUUCGGGACCAUGCCUUGCUGGUCUUGUUUAGUUUUUUUAGUGUCAGAGGGAAACCUCAGUAAUUCUGCCAGGAGUCAACAGGAAACCCUUUCUGGCCUCAGUGACCAGAAGCUGCUGAGAAGUAUAAUCAUUAGGAAAUAAAGUUCUGAACCGUACCUUCUGUACCUUCUGCCUAAAACCAGGAAGACAGUUUUGGACAAGUACUAUGCAUAUGCAUGGCCCAACACUUCUACCUUGCUCCCUAUCACUGCAGGAGGAUUGGGAUAAUUCUUCUGUUUGCACCAGAUCAGAGGCAAACAUGUGAGUGCUUAGAAGAAAAUACUCCUGAACACAAGCCGUUGUUGAAGUUUACCUCUGAUGACAUCUUUGGGAAACACACUGAAACACCCCAUAGGAACAAGGAAUGCAUAAAGCCUGCAAGCUCUUUAACAGGUGGAAAAGUCAUUCUGUGACAGCUAAGAGAUGAAAUCAAAGAAAGGAGACCUAGUUCAACAGACAUGAGCUUUCUGAAUGAAGGCAACCGAAAGAUCAAGAGAAUCAAGAAAAUAAUAUGAGUGAUCAGCAAGCUGGUGAGGCACACACCAAAAGUCAGCUUCAGGUGUGCUUCCAUCAGCUGCUUGCUCUGAGAAAACAUCACUUCAACUGCAUUUUUUGCACCUGCAAGCUGGUUAUCUGGACUAGCCUGAUACUUAACAUGUACUCUGAGAGUUUGCUCUCCUUUUUCUGAUGCUCUGUUGAUGCCUGGCCUUGGUGCUUGGGCUUAGGGCCCUGCAUGAUUUAAUUGCACAUUACAACAAAGAUUUUUGAUUUAUACUUUCUAACUGCAUUCUCUCUUACAUUUCAAAGUGCUUGAAACAUUAUGAUUCUCUAUAAAAGUCCUUGCCCAGAUAUGCUUUUUCAGAGACUCAUCUUCUCACACCAUGUUUUUCUAAGAGUUUUUUUAUUUUGGUGGUUACUGCCCUGACAGAUGGAAUUCUUGACUCUUCCAUUUGAGUCUGGUAAGUAGUCUAAAAAAAGUUAGCUGGCCUUGCUGUCACUUGAGAGGUUGGGACUUCAUUUCUUUCUUUAUUUACAAACAACCCAGAACAUUAUUGGUAUCUAUAGUGAAGAUGGAAAUAUUGCCAUUGGAUCUAAACUGAGGUUCAGGGGGGACCACUGUUUUAAAAGUAGUGAAUUUAGAAGACAAAUGUAAACUUUCUUAGUGUGAUGAAACAUAAUGCAUUUAUUUGAAGUAUGUUUCAAAAAAAUGAGACUUGAAUGAGCUUUGAACUUAGUAUAUGAGUUGACUUUUCAUCUCUGACUUUGACUUGAAUAGCUGUCAAAAUACUAUUAAUUAUGAUACUAUUUUAAUUUUUUUAGAAAUUCUUUGUACAGUGCCUUGACGAAGAUCAUAACAUAAAUUUGGGCAGUUGUAAAACUCUUCCUUCUCUUUCUAAGCAUUUACUCUUGGAACAAAUCCUGCUGAAGUCCCUGGGAGUAAAGGACAAUCUGGGAGAGUUGCUAAUCUUAUUCUUACAAGAGCUGUGUCUUGCCUGCUAUCCUGCUUGGUGUCUGUCAGGCUCACGAUGGAAAUAAAUUAUCCUUUGUCAAUGUCUUGUUGGUAGAU
Long non-coding RNA from Cyanistes caeruleus (blue tit), 1984 nucleotides. The record is from Ensembl. Lineage: Eukaryota; Metazoa; Chordata; Aves; Passeriformes; Paridae.